GCGGGCGUCGCCAAGUGGUACGGCAAUAGCUUCCCAAGCUAUCACUCGCGGGUUCGAAUCCCGUCGCCCGCUCCA
This 75-nucleotide transfer RNA is filed under the name Coriobacteriia bacterium. RNAcentral's name for it is "tRNA-Gly". It matches the Rfam family "tRNA". Rfam says of the family: Transfer RNA (tRNA) molecules are approximately 80 nucleotides in length. Their secondary structure includes four short double-helical elements and three loops (D, anti-codon, and T loops). Lineage: Bacteria; Bacillati; Actinomycetota; Coriobacteriia. The record is from RNAcentral.